This 465-nucleotide ribosomal RNA is filed under the name uncultured bacterium. RNAcentral describes it as "bacterial SSU rRNA". It matches the Rfam family "Bacterial small subunit ribosomal RNA", at positions 330 to 792 of the family's 1533-position model. The record is from RNAcentral.
GCCAGACUCCUACGGGAGGCAGCAGUGAGGAAUAUUGGUCAAUGGGCGGGAGCCUGAACCAGCCAAGUCGCGUGAGGGAUGACGGCCCUAUGGGUUGUAAACCUCUUUUGCCGGGGAGCAGUGGUCCGGACGCGUCCGGACCGGGAGAGUACCCGGAGAAAAAGCAUCGGCUAACUCCGUGCCAGCAGCCGCGGUAAUACGGAGGAUGCGAGCGUUAUCCGGAUUUAUUGGGUUUAAAGGGUGCGUAGGCGGGCAUUUAAGCCGGCGGUCAAAUGUCGGGGCUCAACCCCGGCCUGCCGUCGGAACUGGGUGCCUUGAGUGGGCGAGAAGUAUGCGGAAUGCGUGGUGUAGCGGUGAAAUGCAUAGAUAUCACGCAGAACCCCGAUUGCGAAGGCAGCAUACCGGCGCCUGACUGACGCUGAGGCACGAAAGCGUGGGUAUCGAACAGGAUUAGAUACCCUUGUA